RNAcentral lists this ribosomal RNA (643 nucleotides) under uncultured bacterium. RNAcentral's name for it is "bacterial SSU rRNA". It matches the Rfam family "Bacterial small subunit ribosomal RNA", at positions 232 to 885 of the family's 1533-position model. The record is from RNAcentral.
CGCGGCCUAUCAGCUUGUUGGUGAGGUAAUGGCUCACCAAGGCUUCGACGGGUAGCCGGCCUGAGAGGGCGACCGGCCACACUGGGACUGAGAUACGGCCCAGACUCCUACGGGAGGCAGCAGUGGGGAAUAUUGCACAAUGGGCGCAAGCCUGAUGCAGCAACGCCGCGUGCGGGAUGACGGCCUUCGGGUUGUAAACCGCUUUCAGUAGGGACGAAGCUAACGUGACGGUACCUACAGAAGAAGGACCGGCUAACUACGUGCCAGCAGCCGCGGUGAUACGUAGGGUCCGAGCGUUGUCCGGAAUUAUUGGGCGUAAAGGGCUUGUAGGCGGUCCGUCGCGUCAGGAGUGAAAACUCGGGGCUUAACCCCGAGCCUGCUUUUGAUACGGGCGGACUAGAGGGAUGCAGGGGAGAACGGAAUUCCUGGUGGAGCGGUGGAAUGCGCAGAUAUCGGGAGGAACACCGGUGGCGAAGGCGGUUCUCUGGGCAUCACCUGACGCUGAGAAGCGAAAGCGUGGGGAGCAAACAGGCUUAGAUACCCUGGUAGUCCACGCCGUAAACGGUGGGCACUAGGUGUGGGGGACAUUCCACGUUCUCCGUGCCGAAGCUAACGCAUUAAGUGCCCCGCCUGGGGAGUACGG